UACGGAAGGGGCAAGCGUUGUUCGGAAUUAUUGGGCGUAAAGGGCGCGUAGGCGGUUUUGUUUGUCCGCUGUGAAAGUCCACGGCUCAACCGUGGAGAGUCGGCGGAAACGGCAAGACUUGAGGCUGGGAGGGGUUGGUGGAAUUCCCUGUGUAGCGGUGAAAUGCGUAGAUACGGGGGAGAACACUCGUGGCGAAGGCGGCCAGCUGGCCCAGUCCUGACGCUGAGGCGCGACAGCGUGGGGAGCAAACAGG
This 253-nucleotide ribosomal RNA is filed under the name uncultured bacterium. RNAcentral's name for it is "partial 16S ribosomal RNA". It matches the Rfam family "Bacterial small subunit ribosomal RNA", at positions 524 to 776 of the family's 1533-position model. The record is from RNAcentral.